GUGGGGAAUCUUGCGCAAUGGGCGAAAGCCUGACGCAGCCAUGCCGCGUGAAUGAUGAAGGUCUUAGGAUUGUAAAAUUCUUUCACCGGGGACGAUAAUGACGGUACCCGGAGAAGAAGCUCCGGCUAACUUCGUGCCAGCAGCCGCGGUAAUACGAAGGGGGCUAGCGUUGCUCGGAAUUACUGGGCGUAAAGGGCGCGUAGGCGGACAGCUUAGUCAGAGGUGAAAGCCCAGGGCUCAACCUUGGAAUUGCCUUUGAUACUGGCUGUCUUGAGUUCGGGAGAGGUGAGUGGAACUCCGAGUGUAGAGGUGAAAUUCGUAGAUAUUCGGAAGAACACCAGUGGCGAAGGCGACUCACUGGCCCAAUACUGACGCUGAGGCGCGAAAGCGUGGGGAGCAAACAGGAUUAGAAACCCCGGUAGUCC
Molecule: ribosomal RNA, 425 nt
Filed under: uncultured bacterium
Lineage: Bacteria
Description: partial 16S ribosomal RNA
Rfam family: Bacterial small subunit ribosomal RNA
Source: RNAcentral